This 112-nucleotide ribosomal RNA is filed under the name uncultured bacterium. RNAcentral describes it as "partial 16S ribosomal RNA". It matches the Rfam family "Bacterial small subunit ribosomal RNA", at positions 1360 to 1482 of the family's 1533-position model. The record is from RNAcentral.
CGGUGAAUACGUUCCCGGGCUUGUACACACCGCCCGUCACACCACGAAAGUUAAUUGGACCAGAAAUCGGGGGGGUCUUCCUCCGCUGAAGGUCUGAUUAGUGAUUGGGGUG